This 496-nucleotide ribosomal RNA is filed under the name uncultured bacterium. RNAcentral describes it as "partial 16S ribosomal RNA". It matches the Rfam family "Bacterial small subunit ribosomal RNA", at positions 28 to 523 of the family's 1533-position model. The record is from RNAcentral.
GAUGAACGCUAGCGGCAGGCUUAACACAUGCAAGUCGAGGGGUAGAAGUUGCUUGCAACUUUGAGACCGGCGCACGGGUGCGUAACGCGUAUGCAAUCUACCUUAUACAGAGGGAUAGCCCAGAGAAAUUUGGAUUAAUACCUCAUAGUAUAAUUGAAUGGCAUCAUUUAAUUAUUAAAGUUCCAACGGUAUAAGAUGAGCAUGCGUCCUAUUAGCUAGAUGGUAAGGUAACGGCUUACCAUGGCAACGAUAGGUAGGGGUCCUGAGAGGGAGAUCCCCCACACUGGUACUGAGACACGGACCAGACUCCUACGGGAGGCAGCAGUGAGGAAUAUUGGACAAUGGGCGCAAGCCUGAUCCAGCCACGCCGCGUGCAGGAUGACGGCCCUCUGGGUUGUAAGCUGCUUUUAUACGGGAAGAAAAAGAGCUACGUGUAGCUUAUUGACGGUACCGUAAGAAUAAGGAUCGGCUAACUCCGUGCCAGCAGCCGCGGUAA